This 254-nucleotide ribosomal RNA is filed under the name uncultured bacterium. RNAcentral's name for it is "partial 16S ribosomal RNA". It matches the Rfam family "Bacterial small subunit ribosomal RNA", at positions 524 to 776 of the family's 1533-position model. The record is from RNAcentral.
UACGGAGGAUGCAAGCGUUAUCCGGAAUGAUUGGCGUAAAGCGUCCGCAGGUGGCUGUGUAAGUCUGCUGUCAAAGAGCAAAGCUCAACUUUGUAAAGGCAAUGGAAACUACACGGCUAGAGUGCGUUCGGGGCAGAGGGAAUUCCUGGUGUAGCGGUGAAAUGCGUAGAUAUCAGGAGGAAUACCGGUGGCGAAAGCGACUCUCUGGACGGCAACUGGACGCUGAGGCACGAAAGCCGUGGGGAGCAAACAGG